RNAcentral lists this transfer RNA (71 nucleotides) under Ictidomys tridecemlineatus (thirteen-lined ground squirrel). RNAcentral describes it as "Spermophilus tridecemlineatus (thirteen-lined ground squirrel) tRNA". It matches the Rfam family "tRNA". From Rfam's summary of the family: Transfer RNA (tRNA) molecules are approximately 80 nucleotides in length. Their secondary structure includes four short double-helical elements and three loops (D, anti-codon, and T loops). Further hydrogen bonds mediate the characteristic L-shaped molecular structure. tRNAs have two regions of fundamental functional importance: the anti-codon, which is responsible for specific mRNA codon recognition, and the 3' end, to which the tRNAs corresponding amino acid is attached (by aminoacyl-tRNA synthetases). tRNAs cope with the degeneracy of the genetic code in two manners: having more than one tRNA (with a specific anti-codon) for a particular amino acid; and 'wobble' base-pairing, i.e. permitting non-standard base-pairing at the 3rd anti-codon position. Lineage: Eukaryota; Metazoa; Chordata; Mammalia; Rodentia; Sciuridae. The record is from Rfam by way of RNAcentral.
UGGGGUGGAGCUCAGUGGUAGAGCCCUUGCCUAGCACGCAAGAGACCCUGGGUGUAAUCCUGGCCCCCCAA